RNAcentral lists this ribosomal RNA (428 nucleotides) under uncultured Bacillota bacterium. RNAcentral describes it as "bacterial SSU rRNA". It matches the Rfam family "Bacterial small subunit ribosomal RNA", at positions 958 to 1385 of the family's 1533-position model. Lineage: Bacteria; Bacillati; Bacillota. The record is from RNAcentral.
AACGCGAAGAACCUUACCAGGUCUUGACAUCCCGCUGACCGCUAUGGAGACAUAGCUUUCCCUUCGGGGACAGCGGUGACAGGUGGUGCAUGGUUGUCGUCAGCUCGUGUCGUGAGAUGUUGGGUUAAGUCCCGCAACGAGCGCAACCCUUGUUCUUAGUUGCCAUCAUUUAGUUGGGCACUCUAAGGAGACUGCCGGUGACAAACCGGAGGAAGGUGGGGAUGACGUCAAAUCAUCAUGCCCCUUAUGACCUGGGCUACACACGUGCUACAAUGGACGGUACAAACGGUUGCGAAGUCGCGAGAUGGAGCCAAUCCGAUAAAACCGUUCUCAGUUCGGAUUGUAGGCUGCAACUCGCCUACAUGAAGCCGGAAUCGCUAGUAAUCGCGGAUCAGCAUGCCGCGGUGAAUACGUUCCCGGGCCUUGUA